CGGAGGAACAUGUGGUUAAUUCGAUGAUACGCGAGGAACCUUACCCGGGCUUGAAAUGCAGAAGACCGACGAAGAAAUUCGUUUUCCAGCAAUGGCUUCUGUGUAGGUGCUGCAUGGUUGUCGUCAGCUCGUGCCGUGAGGUGUCGGCUUAAGUGCCAUAACGAGCGCAACCCUUAUCGUUAGUUGCCAGCGGGUUAAGCCGGGAACUCUAGCGAGACUGCCACCGUAAGGUGUGAGGAAGGUGGGGAUGACGUCAAAUCAUCAUGCCCCUUAUGACCUGGGCUACACACGUGCUACAAUGGGCGGUACAAAGGGUCGCGAACCCGCGAGGGGGAGCCAACCCCAAAAAGCCGCUCUCAGUUCGGAUUGCAGGCUGCAACUCGCCUGCAUGAAGCCGGAAUCGCUAGUAAUCGCGGAUCAGCAUGCCGCGGUGAAUACGUUCCCGGGCCUU
RNAcentral lists this ribosomal RNA (451 nucleotides) under uncultured Paludibacter sp. Its description in RNAcentral is "bacterial SSU rRNA". It matches the Rfam family "Bacterial small subunit ribosomal RNA", at positions 930 to 1382 of the family's 1533-position model. The record is from RNAcentral. Lineage: Bacteria; Pseudomonadati; Bacteroidota; Bacteroidia; Bacteroidales; Paludibacteraceae.